CAUAAUUGGGGCAGCGAUAAUGAUUAUAGGAGUGGUUUUACCUGUCGGUUACAUGAUGUUUCGUACCAAGCGUGUCCCUUCUUCUUCCUCUUACUCGAAACAGACGUAGGAGCAAAGUUUUGAUAUAGAGAGAUCAGGACAAGAGACUCUUCUAUACAAUUCUUGGUCACUUGAGUUUGAAGAACAUGCAAAAACAAGGUGGUCUUGACUGAUGUGAAAAUACAAAUGUAAAUGCACUGAAAACUACAAUUUUGUUAUAUUGCUGUUGGGAUUUCUAAUUUCAUUUU
This 287-nucleotide unclassified non-coding RNA is filed under the name Hevea brasiliensis (rubber tree). Lineage: Eukaryota; Viridiplantae; Streptophyta; Magnoliopsida; Malpighiales; Euphorbiaceae. The record is from RNAcentral.